UGAGCAAUCUGCCCUUCUCAUCGGAAUAAGCGUUGGAAACGACGUCUAAUGCCGAAUACGACCUCCUUUCGCAUGAUCGGAGGUGGAAAGCUCCGGCGGAGAAGGAUGAGCUCGCGGCCUAUCAGCUAGUUGGUGUGGGUAAUGGCCCACCAAGGCGACGACGGGUAGCCGGCCUGAGAGGGUGACCGGCGACACUGGGACUGAGACACGGCCCAGACUCCGUACGGGAGCAG
Molecule: ribosomal RNA, 233 nt
Filed under: uncultured bacterium
Lineage: Bacteria
Description: partial 16S ribosomal RNA
Rfam family: Bacterial small subunit ribosomal RNA
Source: RNAcentral